CCUAACACAUGCAAGUCGAGCGGAUGACGGGAGCUUGCUCCUUGAUUCAGCGGCGGACGGGUGAGUAAUGCCUAGGAAUCUGCCUGGUAGUGGGGGACAACGUUUCGAAAGGAACGCUAAUACCGCAUACGUCCUACGGGAGAAAGCAGGGGACCUUCGGGCCUUGCGCUAUCAGAUGAGCCUAGGUCGGAUUAGCUUGUUGGUGAGGUAAUGGCUCACCAAGGCGACGAUCCGUAACUGGUCUGAGAGGAUGAUCAGUCACACUGGAACUGAGACACGGUCCAGACUCCUACGGGAGGCAGCAGUGGGGAAUAUUGGACAAUGGGCGAAAGCCUGAUCCAGCCAUGCCGCGUGUGUGAAGAAGGUCUUCGGAUUGUAAAGCACUUUAAGUUGGGAGGAAGGGCAGUAAGCUAAUACCUUGCUGUUUUGACGUUACCGACAGAAUAAGCACCGGCUAACUCUGUGCCAGCAGCCGCGGUAAUACAGAGGGUGCAAGCGUUAAUCGGAAUUACUGGGCGUAAAGCGCGCGUAGGUGGUUUGUUAAGUUGGAUGUGAAAGCCCCGGGCUCAACCUGGGAACUGCAUCCAAAACUGGCAAGCUAGAGUACGGUAGAGGGUGGUGGAAUUUCCUGUGUAGCGGUGAAAUGCGUAGAUAUAGGAAGGAACACCAGUGGCGAAGGCGACCACCUGGACUGAUACUGACACUGAGGUGCGAAAGCGUGGGGAGCAAACAGGAUUAGAUACCCUGGUAGUCCACGCCGUAAACGAUGUCAACUAGCCGUUGGAAUCCUUGAGAUUUUAGUGGCGCAGCUAACGCAUUAAGUUGACCGCCUGGGGAGUACGGCCGCAAGGUUAAAACUCAAAUGAAUUGACGGGGGCCCGCACAAGCGGUGGAGCAUGUGGUUUA
This 906-nucleotide ribosomal RNA is filed under the name Pseudomonas taiwanensis. RNAcentral describes it as "bacterial SSU rRNA". It matches the Rfam family "Bacterial small subunit ribosomal RNA", at positions 47 to 948 of the family's 1533-position model. Lineage: Bacteria; Pseudomonadati; Pseudomonadota; Gammaproteobacteria; Pseudomonadales; Pseudomonadaceae. The record is from RNAcentral.